This 377-nucleotide ribosomal RNA is filed under the name uncultured bacterium. RNAcentral's name for it is "bacterial SSU rRNA". It matches the Rfam family "Bacterial small subunit ribosomal RNA", at positions 521 to 896 of the family's 1533-position model. The record is from RNAcentral.
UAAUACGGAGGGUGCAAGCGUUGUUCGGAAUUACUGGGCGUAAAGAGCGUGUAGGCGGCCGAUCAAGUCCGGUGUGAAAGCCCGGGGCUUACCCCCGGAAGUGCGCUGGAAACUGAUCGGCUAGAGUAUGGGAGAGGGAAGUGGAAUUCCUGGUGUAGCGGUGAAAUGCGUAGAUAUCAGGAGGAACACCGGCGGCGAAGGCGGCUUCCUGGACCAAUACUGACGCUGAGACGCGAAAGCGUGGGGAGCAAACAGGAUUAGAUACCCUGGUAGUCCACGCUGUAAACGAUGGGCACUAGAUGCCGCGGGUAUUGACCCCUGCGGUGUCGUAGCUAACGCGUUAAGUGCCCCGCCUGGGGAGUACGGUCGCAAGAUUA